RNAcentral lists this long non-coding RNA (1253 nucleotides) under Mus pahari (shrew mouse). RNAcentral describes it as "lncRNA (MGP_PahariEiJ_G0006360.1)". Lineage: Eukaryota; Metazoa; Chordata; Mammalia; Rodentia; Muridae. The record is from RNAcentral.
AGUUAAGACAAAAAACAUUUAUUGAAAGCACCAUGAGCCACCAGGCCCCAUGCUUCUAAGCACAUUGCAGCUGCCUCACAACAGCCCUGUGAGGUAGGAACCUGAGCCCAUUUCACAGAUGUGGACUCAACAGUGAAGACUCAACAGCCUUCCCCCCCCCCCCAAGUCUCAGGGUCCAUAGACAGGGAUCAAGGCCACAUGCCUGACCCCAGGGUCAGCACAGUUCAGUCAGUAGGUGGGUCUCUCUACUCAAGGGGAGGCCAGGGUCCAGAGUCUUGGGUCCAGUAUAUCCCACAGGAAAUGUGCAAGGCGUCCCUGUGGCUGUGGAAGCUGAGAGAGACACAGCUGCAGAUGAAGGCCACCUGCUCCAUCCCCCCCCCCCCCCGGCAGUUUUCAUGCACCAGGCAGAGUAGAAACUGGAGGACUGGGGAUGAAAGUCAAUGUCAUGGAAAGACCCUCGUGGGAAAUGUGAAUCCCAGACAGACAUUGACUAGGACACUCUGGGACUGGGCAACAUGGAAGGACACAGCCUCCUUGCUCCUCCCAUCACACCUUACCCGCCAGGAAACAACUAGGUGAAUAGUGGGACACAAGACAGAAGGGAGACCGUUCUGAGUGCAUGCCAGGGUCAGGCAGGGGUGAGCCUAAGAAGCUGAGCUUGCUGAGGUUUUAUUUGGUAGAGCGGAAGGAAAGAGUUAUUCACACAGGAAUGUGACUAUUGUCCCUGGCUCUCAGUCUGCCCAUCCACAAAAUGGGACCAUGUUGAGGACAACAGUAAAGUGUGUAAACCUAAGUUCAGUCCAAAGCAGAAUUGGAUAUAGGGAAAGCUAAUUUUUCUCCUCUCCUGGCAGAGGAAGAAAGCGGGAGGGGAGAGGAGAACAAAGCAUGCAGACCUACCAGGUCAAAGUGAGAGAGCCAUAGGAAAAAAAUCCAAGGAUGCCAUUAUUUGGAAACCCCUCUAUUGACCCUUGGUUCUUGGCACUGUCCCAGGGGGCAGAUAUGCACACACAUCACAUACACAGAAACACAAGCUUAAAGAAGCAUCUACCGGCAGAUACCACCCCUCCUAAUGCCCCGAAGCACAGUGGCCCAGCCAGCUUCGGCCGUUCACAUAACCAGCAGCAUCAGCCACCAAUUGAAAGAUUGAAAGGAAGGGAAGGUCAGGGAACCACAGAAGAACUUAGAAGCCAACAUGCAUGAAUGAAUCACACAAGAUUUAACCAGGACCACACAGUCAGUGGCUCACAACCAGC